This 165-nucleotide long non-coding RNA is filed under the name Cavia porcellus (domestic guinea pig). Its description in RNAcentral is "lncRNA (ENSCPOG00000034086.1)". Lineage: Eukaryota; Metazoa; Chordata; Mammalia; Rodentia; Caviidae. The record is from RNAcentral.
CGGAGAGGUAGAAGAAGGGCCACCUCUCCCUGGCCGCCCCUAUGGGAACGUCACUUCUGAGCUGAGAUGUACAGCGGCCCGGGCAAAGGCUAAGAAGAGAUCUGCAGAGCAAGUUGAACUAAGUGAAGUUGAAAGGAGUCAUUGAUCUUCUCAAGACUGACUAAG